AUACGGAGGAUGCAAGCGUUAUCCGGAUUUAUUGGGUUUAAAGGGUGCGUAGGCGGUUUGCUAAGCGGGAGGUGAAAUGCCGGCGCUCAACGUCGGAAGUGCCUCCCGAACUGGUGGACUGGAAUGACUCUGCCGUGGGAGGAAUGUGUAGUGUAGCGGUGAAAUGCUUAGAGAUUACACAGAACACCGAUUGCGAAGGCAGCUCACGAAGGGUUGAUUGACGCUGAGGCACGAAAGCGUGGGGAUCAAACAGGAUUAGAUACCCUGGUAGUCCACGCAGUAAACGAUGAUGGCUAACCGCUGGUUUAUUCGGAUCAGUGGCCAAGCGAAAGCGAUAAGCCAUCCACCUGGGGAGUACGACCGCAAGGUUGAAACUCAAAUGAAUUGACGUGG
RNAcentral lists this ribosomal RNA (393 nucleotides) under uncultured bacterium. Its description in RNAcentral is "partial 16S ribosomal RNA". It matches the Rfam family "Bacterial small subunit ribosomal RNA", at positions 523 to 918 of the family's 1533-position model. The record is from RNAcentral.